This 257-nucleotide ribosomal RNA is filed under the name uncultured bacterium. RNAcentral describes it as "partial 16S ribosomal RNA". It matches the Rfam family "Bacterial small subunit ribosomal RNA", at positions 524 to 776 of the family's 1533-position model. The record is from RNAcentral.
UACAGAGGUCUCAAGCGUUGUUUCGGAUUCAUUGGGCGUAAAGGGUGUGUAGGUGGCGCGCUAAGUCGGGUGUGAAAUUUCGGAGCUUAACUCCGAACUGCAUUCGAUACUGGCGUGCUUGAGGACUGGAGAGGAGUACUGGGAAUUCGAUGGUGUAGCGGUGAAAUGCGCAGAUAUCAGGAAGAACACCCGUGGCUAAGGCGGCUCUCUAGUACGGUACUGACGCUGAGACGGCGAAAGCGUGGGGAGCGAACAGG